AGGUACAAAAUUCACCCAUGUUAAACAACUCCGUAGAAAGCAAGAACUUUGUGGAUAUGAAACUUUACCUUCGGUUGGGGCGACCACGGAGGAAAAACAAGCCUCCGAGUGGACUGGGCCAAAAACCCCUAAAGCUAAAAGAGACAUCUUUAAGCCGCAGAACAUCUGACCAAUAAUGAUCCGGCUAAGAAGCCGAUCAACGGACCAAGUUACCCUAGGGAUAACAGCGCAAUCCUCUCCCAGAGCCCAUAUCGACGAGGGGGUUUACGACCUCGAUGUUGGAUCAGGACAUCCUGGUGGUGCAGCCGCUAUUAAG
Molecule: ribosomal RNA, 316 nt
Filed under: Pimephales promelas (fathead minnow)
Lineage: Eukaryota; Metazoa; Chordata; Actinopteri; Cypriniformes; Leuciscidae
Description: partial 16S ribosomal RNA
Rfam family: Bacterial large subunit ribosomal RNA
Source: RNAcentral